GUCAUCUUCUUCAUAGUUGCUGCCAAAUUUUGAAAGACACCAUAGCUAGGGUUCUUUGCUUUCUCAAGCUCAUAAUCAAGAAAAAUGAGAAGACUACCGCAAACGGGGAAAAGAGAAGAUAGUGGAGUAAAUUGCAAAAUUUCGAUAUUUUGCACCGAGUGACAUCAAUCAUCUCGGAACUUGGGCGGAGUCAUAUAAUCAUCCACACUAUCAUCAACAUUUGGGUAUUUUGCAACUCAUAUUUCGGAAACAUGGCAUGUAUAGACGACUUUAUGUACUGUGGUGUAAACAAAUAUAUAUAUAUGUGUUUCGGUUUAAAAUGUAGGUGUUCAUUAUUAAAUAAAUUGUGUUUGAUCAUACAA
Molecule: long non-coding RNA, 362 nt
Organism: Gossypium raimondii (Peruvian cotton)
Lineage: Eukaryota; Viridiplantae; Streptophyta; Magnoliopsida; Malvales; Malvaceae
Exons: 3
Source: RefSeq, a predicted model, not a curated record